AGAGUUUGAUCCUGGCUGAGAACGAACGCUGGCGGCAGGCCUAACACAUGCAAGUCGAGCGCGCCUUCGGGUGAGCGGCGGACGGGUUAGUAACGCGUGGGAACGUGCCCUUCUCUACGGAAUAGCCUCUGGAAACGGAGAGUAAUACCGUAUACGCCCUUUGGGGGAAAGAUUUAUCGGAGAAGGAUCGGCCCGCGUUAGAUUAGGUAGUUGGUGGGGUAACGGCCUACCAAGCCUACGAUCUAUAGCUGGUUUUAGAGGAUGAUCAGCAACACUGGGACUGAGACACGGCCCAGACUCCUACGGGAGGCAGCAGUGGGGAAUCUUAGACAAUGGGGGCAACCCUGAUCUAGCCAUGCCGCGUGAGUGAUGAAGGCCUUAGGGUCGUAAAGCUCUUUCGCCUGUGAUGAUAAUGACAGUAGCAGGUAAAGAAACCCCGGCUAACUCCGUGCCAGCAGCCGCGGUAAUACGGAGGGGGUUAGCGUUGUUCGGAAUUACUGGGCGUAAAGCGCGCGUAGGCGGAUUAGAAAGUUGGGGGUGAAAUCCCGGGGCUCAACCUCGGAACUGCCUCCAAAACUGCUAGUCUAGAGUUCGAGAGAGGUGAGUGGAAUUCCGAGUGUAGAGGUGAAAUUCGUAGAUAUUCGGAGGAACACCAGUGGCGAAGGCGGCU
This 670-nucleotide ribosomal RNA is filed under the name uncultured bacterium. RNAcentral's name for it is "bacterial SSU rRNA". It matches the Rfam family "Bacterial small subunit ribosomal RNA", at positions 8 to 726 of the family's 1533-position model. The record is from RNAcentral.